UGCUUUUUGUUUGUUUUGAGACUCAAUUG
Molecule: non-coding RNA, 29 nt
Filed under: Mus musculus (house mouse)
Lineage: Eukaryota; Metazoa; Chordata; Mammalia; Rodentia; Muridae
Source: RNAcentral